ACAAACACCCGCAACCCGACCCAACCCGCAAAAACCGAAAGAAAAAAAAGGAAUUGGGCGGGUUUAGACGGUCCAACGGGUUCACCGGGUGAUGAAACCGGGUUCAGUCGGAUUUAAAUGGGCGGGUCCGGGUGGUAAAGACUGAACCGCAGGUACCCUGACCCGCCCAAAUCACACAGAUGCUAAACAAUAGUUGGAUUUUGUACUUGGGUUACUACUCCCUCAACCCUCUUCUCUCUCAUUCACUAUCGUUCAGUAUUUCUCUCACCACAACUUGAAGAAACCCUAGCAGCUCCUCUCCACUCACCGCUCAUCGUCAUUCAUCACCACCACAACUCCACCCAAAAGAACAUCGGCCCACCACCAUUAACUCCACCUCGGCGAACACCACCACCACCACUCUCAUCUCUUUUUUUCACUGACUUUCACGACGAGCAACAACAUUUGAACUUGUGGUCUGAUCUUCUUUCUUCUAUUGUUUGACUUUCGGUUGCAAGGUAAAGAUUAAGGUUAUUUGGACAAAUGGUUAUUUCAACAAAAGUAAAUGGUUAUUUGUGACACUGAUGUGUUUAUUUGGGUAUAUGGAGCAUGGAAACAGUAGCAGUCAAAGAACUCAAAGAAUCAUAGAGCAAGAUCCACUAAAUUAUGGAUCAACGUCAAAGUAGCAUGGAAAGAGUCUUAGAGUAAGAGCAAUGAAAUUAUCUCUCUUUUUGUCUCUGGAACAAUACAUAAUUGGUUUUCCAAUUAUUGCUGCAAAGGUUUUUUAUUUCAUUUCCUUCAUGUUUUCUUGUUUUAGAUUCUCAUUCUGUAGUUCCUUGGUUUGUGUUUGUCUUUUUCCUUCAUAGUUUCUCAAUGCUGUCAACCGCGACAAGCCGUAAAGAUGAAUAAACAAUAUCUUGAAAAUUUGGCGUUAAAGAUCAAUGUUAAGUCUGGAGGCCGUAACACGGUGUUGAAUGAUGCCUUUGAGAAAAGAAUUCCUCUAGUAACUGAUAUGCCAACAAUAAUAUUUGGUGUUGAUGUAACACAUCCUCAACCGGGAGAAGACUUGAGUCCCUCUAUAGCUGCAGUGGUGGCAUCAAUGGACUGGCCUUGGGUCACAAGAUACAGAGGAAUUGUUUCUGCCCAGGUUCACCGCGAGGAGAUAAUUCAAGAUCUCUUUAAAGUAAUAGAGGAUCCUCAGAAGGGAAAGCGGCCUGCUGGAAUGAUAAGGGAGUUGCUUGUGGCCUUCUUUAAAUCUACUAUGUAAGCCAAAGAGGAUUAUAUUUUACAGAGAUGGGGUAAGUGAGGGCCAGUUCAGUCAGGUUUUGCUUUACGAGAUGGAUGCAAUUCGGAAGGGGACUAGUUGACCAACGCAUUAUCAUGUGCUGUAUGAUGAAAAUAAAUUCACUGCAGACCAAUGUCGAAGUAGCAUGGAAAGAGUCUUAGAGCAAGAGCAAUGUAGUUAUCCAAUGCCUUACUUUAGAAUUCAAUAAAAUUAAGAGCAAUUGAUGCAUAAAUAUCAGAUUGAAGAGAGGCAACCUCUAAUAUCAAAUUUGAAGGUCUUCAUUCAAAAUUUAUAAAAUUGUUAGCAAGUCAAUAUUUGACUUUAAUUUAUGUGAUUUAUUUUUUAUUUGUAUUGGUCAAUUAAUGUUGAAAAUUUGUAUGAUUUAAAAUGAUAUGUAUAUUUUUUUAGAUUUAGGUCAAUUUAUUAAAUUUAUAAUUUAAAUUGUGACAAAAAAUAGAAAUAUGCAAUUUAAUUGUA
This is a long non-coding RNA of Lathyrus oleraceus (garden pea), 1741 nucleotides long. RefSeq lists it as uncharacterized. The transcript is spliced from 11 exons. NCBI's taxonomy places the organism in Eukaryota, Viridiplantae, Streptophyta, Magnoliopsida, Fabales, Fabaceae. The record is from RefSeq and is a predicted model, not a curated record.